RNAcentral lists this ribosomal RNA (438 nucleotides) under Bombina pachypus (Appenine yellow-bellied toad). Its description in RNAcentral is "partial 16S ribosomal RNA". It matches the Rfam family "Bacterial large subunit ribosomal RNA", at positions 1960 to 2555 of the family's 2925-position model. Lineage: Eukaryota; Metazoa; Chordata; Amphibia; Anura; Bombinatoridae. The record is from RNAcentral.
CGUAAUCACUUGUCUUUUAAAUAAAGACUAGUAUGAAUGGCAUCACGAGAGUUCAACUGUCUCCCGCACCCAAUCAGUGAAACUGAUCUCCCCGUGCANAAGCGGGGAUAAAACCAUAAGACGAGAAGACCCCAUGGAGCUUUAAACUAAAGGCACUANCCCCUAAUUAACCCCUUAGGGUAAAACAUUUUAACCGGCUAAAGUGACCUGUCGUUCUCGGNUGNNGCGACCACGGAGAAAAACAAANCCUCCGAGAUGAAAGGGACAACCCUUAGCCAAGACCAACAAUUCUAAGCAAUAGAACGUCUAACACACUGAUCCAAUCAGAUUGAUCAACGAACCAAGUUACCCUGGGGAUAACAGCGCAAUCUAUUUUCAGAGUUCAUAUCGACAAAUAGGUUUACGACCUCGAUGUUGGAUCAGGGCCUCCUAGCGGUG